Molecule: unclassified non-coding RNA, 647 nt
Filed under: uncultured Prochlorococcus sp.
Lineage: Bacteria; Bacillati; Cyanobacteriota; Cyanophyceae; Synechococcales; Prochlorococcaceae
Description: partial 16S-23S ribosomal RNA intergenic spacer; may also contain 16S ribosomal RNA and 23S ribosomal RNA
Rfam family: tRNA (bases 307-379)
Source: RNAcentral
UUGUGGAGGAGGACGCCGAAGGUGGGGCUAAUGACUGGGGUGAAGUCGUAACAAGGUAGCCGUACCGGAAGGUGCGGCUGGAUCACCUCCUAACAGGGAGACAACAAAAUGUUAAAUAUUAUUAUUUUGUCACCUUAGGUCGAUCGGUAUCUCACAUUCUUAAUUUAUUAAGGAUUUUAUUUCCUAAGUUUUUCUAGGUCACACCCAUUUUUUUCCUGGGCCAUUAGCUCAGGUGGUUAGAGCGCACCCCUGAUAAGGGUGAGGUCCCUGGUUCAAGUCCAGGAUGGCCCAUCAUAUCUCUAUGUUGGGGGUAUAGCUCAGUUGGUAGAGCGCCUGCUUUGCAAGCAGGAUGUCAGCGGUUCGAGUCCGCUUACCUCCACUGAUUACCACCUCUUCCAUAAAUUUAUCGAAAGGAAAUUUUGAGUUGUGAUCUUAUUCUGAACGAAUCUAGCCUCCUAAUGUAAUCAUUAAGAUGCUGGACUCAGUGAAUUAAUUUCAUUGUUUUCAGAGAACCUUGACAACUGCAUAGAUUAUUUUUAAAGACAAUAAGCAUCUUUAGUGAUGCAGAUUUAUUAUUUGUGCUGAUGCAUUAAUAACAAUUCUAUUAAGCUGAUGCUUCAAUUUUGAAGUUAUUGGUCAAGCUACAA